UACGUAGGCAGCAAGCGUUGUUCGGAGUUACUGGGCGUAAAGAGUGCGUAGGUGGUGCCCUAAGUCUGUUGUGAAAUCUCCCGGCUUAACUGGGAGGGUGCGGUGGGAACUGGGGUGCUUGAGUGUGGGAGAGGUAAGCGGAAUUCCUGGUGUAGCGGUGAAAUGCGCAGAUAUCAGGAGGAACACCGGUGGCGAAGGCGGGUCUCUGGGCCGAUACUGACGCUGAGGAGCGAAAGCGUGGGGAGCGAAUAGG
Molecule: ribosomal RNA, 253 nt
Filed under: uncultured bacterium
Lineage: Bacteria
Description: partial 16S ribosomal RNA
Rfam family: Bacterial small subunit ribosomal RNA
Source: RNAcentral